UAAAUAACAAUCGUUAUGUUGCUUUUUGUGACAUCUCGGAGUUGGGUCAUCUUAAUUUUCUUAAGGGACCUAAAAUUGAAGUACCUUGCGCAUUUCGACGUGUAUAAUUUUUUUUAUCUCGUCACCGAAUGCCAUGUUUUAUUAGGUGUGUGACUAUGUUAAAGUGGUUUCAUGCCUAUAGAAUUCUUGAUU
This 192-nucleotide unclassified non-coding RNA is filed under the name uncultured Glomeromycetes. RNAcentral's name for it is "sequence contains ITS2". Lineage: Eukaryota; Fungi; Glomeromycota; Glomeromycetes. The record is from RNAcentral.